UGUUCAGGCGGUUUGGAAAGUCGGGCAUGAAAUCUCUUGGCUCAACCAGGAGAGGCUGUCCGAUACUUCCAGACUUGAGGGCAACAGAGGGCGGUGGAAUUCCGGGUGUAGUGGUAAAAAUGCGUAGAUAUCCGGAGGAACACCAGUGGCGAAAGCGGCCGCCUGGGUUGCAUCUGACGCUAAAACACGAAGGCUAGGGCAGAGAACGGGAUUAGAAACCCCGGUAUUCCUAGCAGUAAACGAUGUUGACUAGGUGUCGGGAGUGUAAAAACUCUCGGUGUCGUAGCAAACGCGUUAAGUCAACCGCCUGGGGACUACGGCCGCAAGGUUAAA
This 333-nucleotide ribosomal RNA is filed under the name uncultured bacterium. RNAcentral describes it as "bacterial SSU rRNA". It matches the Rfam family "Bacterial small subunit ribosomal RNA", at positions 568 to 898 of the family's 1533-position model. The record is from RNAcentral.